AGAUUGAACGCUGGCGGCAGGCCUAACACAUGCAAGUCGAGCGGUAGAGAGGUGCUUGCAUCUCUUGAGAGCGGCGGACGGGUGAGUAAUGCCUAGGAAUCUGCCUAGUGGUGGGGGAUAACGUUCGGAAACGGACGCUAAUACCGCAUACGUCCUACGGGAGAAAGCGGGGGACCUUCGGGCCUCGCGCCAUUAGAUGAGCCUAGGUCGGAUUAGCUAGUUGGUGAGGUAAUGGCUCACCAAGGCGACGAUCCGUAACUGGUCUGAGAGGAUGAUCAGUCACACUGGAACUGAGACACGGUCCAGACUCCUACGGGAGGCAGCAGUGGGGAAUAUUGGACAAUGGGCGAAAGCCUGAUCCAGCCAAUGCCGCGUGUGUGAAGAAGGUCUUCGGAUUGUAAAAGCAACGUUUUAAGUGGGUAAGGAAGGGUUUAGUAAACCUAAGUACGUUGACAACUUUGACGUUACGACAGAAUAAGCACCGGACUAACUUCGUACGCCAG
Molecule: ribosomal RNA, 503 nt
Filed under: uncultured soil bacterium
Lineage: Bacteria
Description: bacterial SSU rRNA
Rfam family: Bacterial small subunit ribosomal RNA
Source: RNAcentral